RNAcentral lists this ribosomal RNA (245 nucleotides) under uncultured bacterium. Its description in RNAcentral is "partial 16S ribosomal RNA". It matches the Rfam family "Bacterial small subunit ribosomal RNA", at positions 524 to 767 of the family's 1533-position model. The record is from RNAcentral.
GACGAACCGUGCGAACGUUAUUCGGAAUCACUGGGCUUAAAGCGCGUGUAGGCGGGGCGGCACGUCGGCCGUUGAAAUCCCCCGGCUCAACCGGGGAAGGGGCGCCGAUACGACCGCCCUCGAGGAACGUAGGGGGAGCUGGAACUUCCGGUGGAGCGGUGAAAUGCGUUGAGAUCGGAAGGAACGCCCGUGGCGAAAGCGAGCUCCUGGACGUUUUCUGACGCUGAGACGCGAAAGCCAGGGGA